This 788-nucleotide ribosomal RNA is filed under the name uncultured Pelagibacteraceae bacterium. Its description in RNAcentral is "bacterial SSU rRNA". It matches the Rfam family "Bacterial small subunit ribosomal RNA", at positions 44 to 880 of the family's 1533-position model. Lineage: Bacteria; Pseudomonadati; Pseudomonadota; Alphaproteobacteria; Candidatus Pelagibacterales; Candidatus Pelagibacteraceae. The record is from RNAcentral.
ACGCCUUAUACAUGCAAGUCGAACGAAGUAGCAAUACUUAGUGGCAGACGGGUGAGUAACAUGUGGGUAUCUUCCCUUUGGUGAGGAAUAACACGAGGAAACUUGUGCUAAUACCUCAUAAGUCUUUACGGAGAAAGCUUUAUGCGCCAAUGGAUGAGCCCGCACUUGAUUAGUUUGUUGGUGGGGUAAUGGCCUACCAAGACUUUGAUCAAUAGCUGAUUUGAGAGGAUGAUCAGCCACAUUGGGACUGAGACACGGCCCAAACUCCUACGGGAGGCAGCAGUAAGGAAUCUUGCACAAUGGAGGAAACUCUGAUGCAGCGAUGCCGCGUGAGUGAAGAAGGCCUUUGGGUUGUAAAGCUCUUUCGUCGGGGAAGAAAAUGACUGUACCCGAAUAAGAAGGUCCGGCUAACUUCGUGCCAGCAGCCGCGGUAAUACGAAGGGACCUAGCGUAGUUCGGAAUUACUGGGCUUAAAGAGUUCGUAGGUGGUUAAAAAAGUUGGUAGUGAAAUCCCAGAGCUUAACUCUGGAACUGCUAUCAAAACUUUUUAGCUAGAGUAUGAUAGAGGAAAGCAGAAUUUCUAGUGUAGAGGUGAAAUUCGUAGAUAUUAGAAAGAAUACCAAUUGCGAAGGCAGCUUUCUGGAUCAUUACUGACGCUGAGGAACGAAAGCAUGGGUAGCGAAGAGGAUUAGAUACCCUCGUAGUCCAUGCUGUAAACGAUGUGUGUUAGACGUUGGAAAUUUAUUUUCAGUGUCGCAGCGAAAGCGAUAAACACACCGCCUGGGGAG